Molecule: non-coding RNA, 576 nt
Organism: Salvelinus fontinalis (brook trout)
Lineage: Eukaryota; Metazoa; Chordata; Actinopteri; Salmoniformes; Salmonidae
Source: the annotation of a RefSeq genome assembly
CAUGACAACAGAACCAACAACAACCAUGACUUUUAUCACCAUCUUCAUCUGGACACUUGCUUUCUGCUUUCAAGAAUCCAGAGGACAGUAUGUUGUGACACAGACUCCUGCAGUGAAAGCUGUUGUCCCAGGACAGACAGUCUCUCUGAACUGUAAAACCAGCAGUAAUGUUUACAACAAUAACUAUUUAGCCUGGUAUCAACAGAAACCUGGAGGAGCUCCUAAACUCCUUAUUUACUAUGCUACAACACUUCAGUCUGGGACUCCAUCUAGAUUCAGUGGCAGUGGAUCUGGGAGUGACUUCACUCUGACCAUCAGUGGAGUCCAGGCUGAAGAUGCAGGAGAUUACUACUGUCAGAGUUAUAAUCAUAUCAAUAGUAAACAUGUGUUCACACAGUGAUACAGAGCCAUACAAAAACAUCCCUCAUUCAGACUGCUCAGUGAUUGUGUUGCUACAGCUGGGACCUACUGCAGGUGCUGAGGGGAAAGAGUGAAAUGGAUCACUGGUCACUAGAUGAGGUCAACUGUGAUGUGACAAUAUGGUUAGAAAUCAUUCAGAUCACAUGACCAUCAUCA